Molecule: ribosomal RNA, 279 nt
Filed under: uncultured bacterium
Lineage: Bacteria
Description: partial 16S ribosomal RNA
Rfam family: Bacterial small subunit ribosomal RNA
Source: RNAcentral
UGCCAGCAGCCGCGGUAAUACGUAUGGUGCAAGCGUUAUCCGGAAUCACUGGGCGUAAAGGGAGCGUAGGCGGGCGAUUAAGUCAGGGGUGAAAGUUUGCGGCUCAACCGUAAAAUUGCCUUUGAUACUGGUCGUCUUGAAUGACUGUGAAGUGGUUAGGAUGUGUAGUGUAGCGGUGAAAUGCAUAGAUAUUACACAGAAUACCGAUUGCGAAGGCAGAUCACUAACAGUUCAUUGACGCUGAGGGACGAGAGCGUGGGGAGCGAACAGGAUUAGAUA